GGGCCAUUAGCUCAGUUGGUUAGAGCAUCCGGCUCAUAACCGGACGGUCCUGGGUUCGAGUCCCCGAUGGCCCACCA
RNAcentral lists this transfer RNA (77 nucleotides) under Ruminococcus sp. RNAcentral describes it as "tRNA-Ile". It matches the Rfam family "tRNA". Rfam says of the family: Transfer RNA (tRNA) molecules are approximately 80 nucleotides in length. Their secondary structure includes four short double-helical elements and three loops (D, anti-codon, and T loops). Further hydrogen bonds mediate the characteristic L-shaped molecular structure. tRNAs have two regions of fundamental functional importance: the anti-codon, which is responsible for specific mRNA codon recognition, and the 3' end, to which the tRNAs corresponding amino acid is attached (by aminoacyl-tRNA synthetases). tRNAs cope with the degeneracy of the genetic code in two manners: having more than one tRNA (with a specific anti-codon) for a particular amino acid; and 'wobble' base-pairing, i.e. permitting non-standard base-pairing at the 3rd anti-codon position. The record is from RNAcentral. Lineage: Bacteria; Bacillati; Bacillota; Clostridia; Eubacteriales; Oscillospiraceae. RNAcentral also lists the same sequence under 2 other names.